GUAGGUGGCAAGCGUUGUCCGGAAUAUUGGGCGUAAAGCGCGCGCAGGGCGGUCCUUUAAGUCUGAUGUGAAAGCCCACGGCUCAACCGUGGAGGGUCAUUGGAAACUGGGGGACUUGAGUACAGAAGAGGAAAGCGGAAUUCCAAGUGUAGCGGUGAAAUGCGUAGAGAUUUGGAGGAACACCAGUGGCGAAGGCGGCUUUCUGGUCUGUAACUGACGCUGAGGCGCGAAAGCGUGGGGAGCAAACAGGAUUAGAUACCCUGGUAGUCCACGCCGUAAACGAUGAGUGCUAAGUGUUAGGGGGUUUCCGCCCCUUAGUGCUGCAGCUAACGCAUUAAGCACUCCGCCUGGGGAGUACGGCCGCAAGGCUG
This 371-nucleotide ribosomal RNA is filed under the name uncultured organism. RNAcentral's name for it is "partial 16S ribosomal RNA". It matches the Rfam family "Bacterial small subunit ribosomal RNA", at positions 527 to 896 of the family's 1533-position model. The record is from RNAcentral.